AUACCUUUCUCGGCCUUUUGGCUAAGAUCAAGUGUAGUAUCUGUUCUUAUCAGUUUAAUAUCUGAUAUGUGGGCCAUAGGUCCACACGAUAUUAAAUUUAUUUUUUAAGGGGGAAGGCCCAUCACAAUAGCUUGCUAUUGGGGUCUUUGCGCGUCGCCCAAGCGUUGCACUACUGCUCGGGCCUGGCGCACCCCAC
This is a non-coding RNA of Daucus carota subsp. sativus, 196 nucleotides long. The record is from Rfam. Lineage: Eukaryota; Viridiplantae; Streptophyta; Magnoliopsida; Apiales; Apiaceae.